UUACCCGCUGAAAAUUAAGCAUAUCAAUAAGCGGAGGAAAAGAAACCAACAGGGAUUGCCUCAGUAACGGCGAGUGAAGCGGCAACAGCUCAAAUUUGAAAUCUGUCCCUUUCAGGGUCCGAGUUGUAAUUUGUAGAGGGUGCUUUGGCGUCGGCCGUGGUCUAAGUUCCUUGGAACAGGACGUCACAGAGGGUGAGAAUCCCGUACGUGGCCGCCGGUCUUCGCCGUGUAAAGCCCCUUCGACGAGUCGAGUUGUUUGGGAAUGCAGCUCUAAAUGGGAGAUAAAUUUCUUCUAAAGCUAAAUAUUGGCCAGAGACCGAUAGCGCACAAGUAGAGUGAUCGAAAGAUGAAAAGCACUUUGGAAAGAGAGUCAAAAAGCACGUGAAAUUGUUGAAAGGGAAGCGCUUGCAGCCAGACGUGCCCGCAGUUGCUCACCCGGGCUCUCGCCCGGGGCAUUCUUCUGCGGGCAGGCCAGCAUCAGUUCGGGCGGUUGGAUAAAGGCCUCUAUCACGUAUCUUCCUUCGGGAUGACCUUAUAGGGGAGGCGCAACACGACCAGCCUGAACUGAGGACCGCGCAUCAGCUAGGAUGCUGGCGUAAUGGCUGUAAGCGGCCCGUCUUGAAACACGGACCAAGGAGUCUAACAUCUAUGCGAGUGUUUGGGUGUCAAGCCCGGGCGCGCAAUGAAAGUGAACGGAGGUGGGAACCCCUCGGGGUGCACCAUCGACCGAUCCUGAAGUCUUCGGAUGGAUUUGAGUAAGAGCAUAGCUGUUGGGACCCGAAAGAUGGUGAACUAUGCCUGAAUAGGGUGAAGCCAGGGGAAACCCUGGUGGAGGCUCGCAGCGGUUCUGACGUGCAAAUCGAUCGUCAAAUUUGGGCAUAGGGGCGAAAGACUAAUCGAACCAUCUAGUAGCUGGUUCCUGCCGAAGUUCCCCUUCAGGAAA
This 943-nucleotide ribosomal RNA is filed under the name Roussoella doimaesalongensis. RNAcentral describes it as "partial 28S ribosomal RNA". It matches the Rfam family "Eukaryotic large subunit ribosomal RNA", at positions 21 to 980 of the family's 3401-position model. The record is from RNAcentral. Lineage: Eukaryota; Fungi; Ascomycota; Dothideomycetes; Pleosporales; Thyridariaceae.